ACCAUUGUGUACUUGUCAAACACUACAGGGCAGCACAGAAGACGAGACGAGGAGCAGACGAGAGGCAUUAGAGCGCAAAGUAACCAAGUCAAUUGAAAGGGGGAGGAUUUAGGGAUGGUCUUUCUACUCAGGAAAUUUCUUUCUUUUUUUCUUUUGUUUUCUCUUCGAAAACAGGAAAGAAAUAAAGAAAGAGAAAAUAGAUUUAUACUUAAAAGUGGAGGUAGUGACUACGACUUGUUUGCUUGGGCAUUGGUCAACAGAAGGUGCAUAGAUGGAACAUCACUUAGAGGCUAAGUCCUUAAUGACACCAAGCACAAGUUACCUUGCAGAUUCAUAGUUGCAUGGUUCUCUUGAUUUUAUUUAAAAAACUCAACAUCUUCAACCAGCAAUACCUUCAACACUUUUUCACCUGACAUAAGGUCUGGAAACUCCAAAGAUCCAUGUCUCCAAUGAGAGCUGAUAUCGUACAUGACAAGCAGGUUGUGUGUUUUGGGUGAUAUGUGAAGGCUAGGCAGAUACCUUGGGGAUAUGAAGAUUUUGGUAGCACAGUAAAUUCCUACAGAAGAGUAGAGACCAAAUUAUCCUUUCUCGAGGAAUCCAUCAAUCUUACAUUCCAAAUUUUUCUUGUUGCUUAAAGCCAAAACCAAUUUAAGCUAUUGUUUACAUAAAGAUAGUUGUUUACAUCAAUUUAAAGAAGUAAACAUUACAUUUCCACCUUCUGAGACAUAUUUCCAGUGUUUUAUAGUUCUGAUGCUUCUGUAAGAAAAAACUUGAUUCUCUGCUAAUAU
This is a long non-coding RNA of Daphnia carinata, 788 nucleotides long. RefSeq lists it as uncharacterized. The transcript has 4 exons. NCBI's taxonomy places the organism in Eukaryota, Metazoa, Arthropoda, Branchiopoda, Diplostraca, Daphniidae. The record is from RefSeq and is a predicted model, not a curated record.